Long non-coding RNA from Mauremys reevesii (Reeves's turtle), 212 nucleotides. RefSeq lists it as uncharacterized. The record is from RefSeq and is a predicted model, not a curated record. The transcript has 4 exons. Lineage: Eukaryota; Metazoa; Chordata; Testudines; Geoemydidae.
CAACUCCAAAUUAAAUCAAGACGAGGUGAUCUCCAGGAAACAAUGAUUGAACUUCGGAUACACAACGGUGCCACUAUCCUUCAGAAGAAUGUCCUUAACCAAAACCAGACAUUUCUACAUUUCAUUGUCUUUCCUCAAUCAUAGAAGAUUCAUGAUUUCUUUUAAAACACAUAACUGAACUGCUGAGGACUUUCUCUCCCAUCAAGUUGAUU